UGACAAAAAGAUGAAGUCAAUACCAUCAAAUCUUAAAAGACACAUAACCUCUCAACACCCAAACAUAAUGAAAGCAGAUGAAUCUAAUAGUGAUUCGUCCUUCAAUGCUAGAAAUACAGCAAAAGAAAAAUUCCCAAAAAUUAAGAUCGAUAAAUCUAAAGUUUUUGAAUGUAUAGUAUGGUUGAUUACAGUCCAUAAUUUACCCAUAAAUUUAGUAAAUUAUGAGGGUUUCCGUAUUUUACUAGACCCUAUAUGUCAUUCUCUUCAAAUGAAAAUAAAUACUCA
Molecule: long non-coding RNA, 285 nt
Organism: Gordionus sp. m RMFG-2023
Lineage: Eukaryota; Metazoa; Nematomorpha; Gordioida; Chordodea; Parachordodidae
Exons: 3
Source: RefSeq, a predicted model, not a curated record